RNAcentral lists this ribosomal RNA (468 nucleotides) under uncultured bacterium. Its description in RNAcentral is "partial 16S ribosomal RNA". It matches the Rfam family "Bacterial small subunit ribosomal RNA", at positions 28 to 507 of the family's 1533-position model. The record is from RNAcentral.
GACGAACGCUGGCGGCGUGCUUAACACAUGCAAGUCGAACGGAAAGGCCCUGCUUUUGUGGGGUGCUCGAGUGGCGAACGGGUGAGUAACACGUGAGUAACCUGCCCUUGACUUUGGGAUAACUUCAGGAAACUGGGGCUAAUACCGGAUAGGAGCUCCUGCUGCAUGGUGGGGGUUGGAAAGUUUCGGCGGUUGGGGAUGGACUCGCGGCUUAUCAGCUUGUUGGUGGGGUAGUGGCUUACCAAGGCUUUGACGGGUAGCCGGCCUGAGAGGGUGACCGGCCACAUUGGGACUGAGAUACGGCCCAGACUCCUACGGGAGGCAGCAGUGGGGAAUAUUGCACAAUGGGCGGAAGCCUGAUGCAGCAACGCCGCGUGCGGGAUGACGGCCUUCGGGUUGUAAACCGCUUUCGCCUGUGACGAAGCGUGAGUGACGGUAAUGGGUAAAGAAGCACAGGCUAGCUACGUG